Molecule: ribosomal RNA, 682 nt
Filed under: Pisacha sp. 2 MW-2022
Lineage: Eukaryota; Metazoa; Arthropoda; Insecta; Hemiptera; Nogodinidae
Description: partial large subunit ribosomal RNA
Rfam family: Eukaryotic large subunit ribosomal RNA
Source: RNAcentral
UGGAUGGCGCUCUAGCGUCGUGCCUAUACCGGGCCGUCAACGGCACAGUCGGCCGGCCGCGUCGCGGCGGCGGUCUUCCGUCCGCCCGGCGCGCCGACCGUUAAGCCUUGACGAGUAGGAGGAGCGCGGCGGUGAGCGCAGAAGGGUCCGGGCGCGAGCCUGCCUGGAGCCGCCGUCGGUGCAGAUCUUGGUGGUAGUAGCAAAUACUCUAGCGAGGACCUUGAGGACUGAUGUGGGGAAGGGUUUCUUGUGAACAGCCGUUGCACAAGAGUCAGUCGAUCCUGAGCCCUAGGAGAAAUCCUAUGUUGAUGGGGCGCGGUUUAACUAACGCUGGACUCGCUCCCCGUCGGGCGAAAGGGAAUCCGGUCCGUAUUCCGGAACCCGGCUGCGUAACCGCACUCUGCGGGCACUCGUCCGCGAGGGCUCGUCGGGGUAACCCAACUAGGCCCGGAGACGCCGGCGGGAGGUCUGGGAAGAGUUGUCUUUUCUGCAUAAGCGUUCGAGUUCCCUGGAAUCCUCUUGCAGGGAGAUAGGGUUCGGAACGCGAAGAGCACCGCAGUUGCAGCGGUGUCCAGGCCGUCCCCCCGGACCUUGAAAAUCCGGGUUAGGGCUACGCGGUAAUCGCGCCGGCUCGUACCCAUAACCGCAGCAGGUCUCCAAGGUAAGAGCCUCUAGUCGAUAG